ACGGAGGAUGCGAGCGUUAUCCGGAUUUAUUGGGUUUAAAGGGUGCGUAGGCGGCCUGCCAAGUCAGCGGUAAAAUUGCGGGGCUCAACCCCGUACAGCCGUUGAAACUGCCGGGCUCGAGUGGGCGAGAAGUAUGCGGAAUGCGUGGUGUAGCGGUGAAAUGCAUAGAUAUCACGCAGAACCCCGAUUGCGAAGGCAGCAUACCGGCGCCCUACUGACGCUGAGGCACGAAAGUGCGGGGAUCAA
This 246-nucleotide ribosomal RNA is filed under the name uncultured bacterium. Its description in RNAcentral is "partial 16S ribosomal RNA". It matches the Rfam family "Bacterial small subunit ribosomal RNA", at positions 525 to 771 of the family's 1533-position model. The record is from RNAcentral.